GCCUGUGUGCCUGUGUUUCUUGUUCAAACUCAAAAUCCAAAGCUCCAUGUGUUAUUUGUUUGGCUUUGUGCUUUGGCAGUUUGUGGAUAUAAUUUUUUAUUUAUCAAGAUAAUUGAAACGUUUUACCCAUUAUUUGCGUUUCAAAUCAUUCGUUCAUUUCAAUAAAAACGUCAAUGGAUAACGAAAUGAUGUCAGCUAUUGAGUGAGCAGGUUGCAAACAAUAGAUGUCAACAACCAGAGUGCAGUUUUACAUGUACAGUACUUCAGUUGAUUAUGAUGGCGAUCUUGGCCAACAUCAUUCAGUAUUCGAUUUUUGUCAAAUAUUCUCCAAAGAAGGAGCAAGAGAAGAAAAGAGACCUUGGAAGAAAUGGAAAAAUUGUAUCGCCCAGGAUAUUGUAGUGAAGGGACUAACACCAAACGAAGUCCAUGACCGACACUCCUGGGAGCGAUGACCCGAAACGCUGACCCCACCUGAGUGGGAAAACGCUGAGAAGAAGAAGAUUCACCAAAGAAGGAGCAAACGAAAGGGGUAUCGAGAAGAAUGGCUUCCGAAAAGAAGAAUUGCUUUAUUUGCAAUAAUGCGCAUGUAGAUGGUGACUAUUGGUCACGAUUAGAAACAUACUGCACGAAAUCAUCGAAGAUCAGUAUUAUAGAAAAACUUGCUGAAAUUGUAGGCGACAAAUGCUGAAAACCAAGCGGUGUUCGCAAGGCUGGGAAGCAAGCCAUACACGCCAGCCGUGAUUGAGGCAUGUCCGCUUGAAGGCUUCCUGCGGCGACAAU
This is a long non-coding RNA of Nilaparvata lugens (brown planthopper), 780 nucleotides long. RefSeq lists it as uncharacterized. NCBI's taxonomy places the organism in Eukaryota, Metazoa, Arthropoda, Insecta, Hemiptera, Delphacidae. The transcript has 4 exons. The record is from RefSeq and is a predicted model, not a curated record.